RNAcentral lists this transfer RNA (76 nucleotides) under Polaromonas sp. RNAcentral's name for it is "tRNA-Met". It matches the Rfam family "tRNA". Rfam says of the family: Transfer RNA (tRNA) molecules are approximately 80 nucleotides in length. Their secondary structure includes four short double-helical elements and three loops (D, anti-codon, and T loops). Further hydrogen bonds mediate the characteristic L-shaped molecular structure. tRNAs have two regions of fundamental functional importance: the anti-codon, which is responsible for specific mRNA codon recognition, and the 3' end, to which the tRNAs corresponding amino acid is attached (by aminoacyl-tRNA synthetases). tRNAs cope with the degeneracy of the genetic code in two manners: having more than one tRNA (with a specific anti-codon) for a particular amino acid; and 'wobble' base-pairing, i.e. permitting non-standard base-pairing at the 3rd anti-codon position. The record is from RNAcentral. Lineage: Bacteria; Pseudomonadati; Pseudomonadota; Betaproteobacteria; Burkholderiales; Comamonadaceae.
UGCGCGGUAGGGGAGAUGGAAACCCGUUGGCCUCAUAAGCCAAAGAUCGUCGGUUCGAGUCCGACCUGCGCAACCA